RNAcentral lists this ribosomal RNA (398 nucleotides) under uncultured bacterium. RNAcentral describes it as "bacterial SSU rRNA". It matches the Rfam family "Bacterial small subunit ribosomal RNA", at positions 30 to 432 of the family's 1533-position model. The record is from RNAcentral.
AUUGAACGCUGGCGGCAUGCCUUACACAUGCAAGUCGAACGGCAGCACGGGAGCAAUCCUGGUGGCGAGUGGCGAACGGGUGAGUAAUAUAUCGGAACGUGCCCGGUCGUGGGGAUAACGUAGCGAAAGCUACGCUAAUACCGCAUACGAUCUACGGAUGAAAGCGGGGGAUCGCAAGACCUCGCGCGAUUGGAGCGGCCGAUAUCAGAUUAGGUAGUUGGUGAGGUAAAGGCUCACCAAGCCGACGAUCUGUAGCUGGUCUGAGAGGACGACCAGCCACACUGGGACUGAGACACGGCCCAGACUCCUACGGGAGGCAGCAGUGGGGAAUUUUGGACAAUGGGCGCAAGCCUGAUCCAGCAAUGCCGCGUGCAGGAUGAAGGCCUCGGUUGUAACUG